RNAcentral lists this ribosomal RNA (545 nucleotides) under uncultured eukaryote. Its description in RNAcentral is "bacterial SSU rRNA". It matches the Rfam family "Eukaryotic small subunit ribosomal RNA", at positions 4 to 569 of the family's 1831-position model. The record is from RNAcentral.
CUGGUUGAUCCUGCCAGUAGUCAUAUGCUUGUCUCAAAGAUUAAGCCAUGCAUGUCUAAGUUUAAGCACCCUUAAACGCGAAACUGCAGAUGGCUCAUUAAAUCAGUCAUAGUUGGAGCAGCCUAAAGCACUAGGAUAACCGUGGUAAUUCUAGGGCUAAUACUUGCAGUGCGUCAGCACUUCCAUGUUUGUGGGCCUAUCAUACCAAUGCCUUUGGCAUAUGUGAAUAACUGCAAAUAUUGAUCGCAUGGCUUCAUGCCGGCGACAAGCUGCUCAAAUGUCUGCCCUAUCAGCUUACGUUGGUAGCGUAUUGGGCUACCAUGGCUUUUACGGGUAACGGGGAACAAGGGUUCGGUUCCGGAGAGGGAGCCUGAGAGAUGGCUACCACUUCUAAGGAAGGCAGCAGGCGCGCAAAUUACCCAAUAGCAAUACGCUGAGGUAGUGACAAGAAAUACCAAUAUGGGUCCCCGCAAGGGAUCUGUAAUUGGAAUGAACCCAAUUUAAAACUCUUAAUGAGUACCAAUUGGAGGACAAGUCUGGUGCCA